AUACGGAGGGCGCAAGCGUUGUUCGGAAUCAUUGGGCGUAAAGCGCGUGUAGGCGGCUUGGCAAGUCGGACGUGAAAGCCCGGGGCUCAACCCCGGAACGGCGCCCGAAACUGCCUGGCUAGAGUCCCGGAGAGGAGGGCGGAAUUCCCGGUGUAGAGGUGAAAUUCGUAGAUAUCGGGAGGAACACCAGCGACGAAGGCGGCCCUCUGGACGGUGACUGACGCUGAGACGCGAAAGCGUGGGGAGCAAACAGGAUUAGAAACCCCAGUAGUCC
Molecule: ribosomal RNA, 274 nt
Filed under: uncultured bacterium
Lineage: Bacteria
Description: partial 16S ribosomal RNA
Rfam family: Bacterial small subunit ribosomal RNA
Source: RNAcentral